GACGUAGGGCGCGAGCGUUGUCCGGAUUUAUUGGGCGUAAAGAGCGUGUAGGCGGCUUGGCAAGUCUGCUGUGAAAACUCGAGGCUCAACCUCGAGCUGUCGGUGGAAACUGCUUGGCUAGAGUCCGGAAGAGGAGAGUGGAAUUCCUGGUGUAGCGGUGAAAUGCGCAGAUAUCAGGAAGAACACCUAUGGCGAAGGCAGCUCUCUGGGACGGUACUGACGCUGAGACGCGAAAGCGUGGGGAGCGAACAGG
RNAcentral lists this ribosomal RNA (253 nucleotides) under uncultured bacterium. RNAcentral describes it as "partial 16S ribosomal RNA". It matches the Rfam family "Bacterial small subunit ribosomal RNA", at positions 524 to 776 of the family's 1533-position model. The record is from RNAcentral.